This 649-nucleotide ribosomal RNA is filed under the name uncultured bacterium. RNAcentral describes it as "bacterial SSU rRNA". It matches the Rfam family "Bacterial small subunit ribosomal RNA", at positions 8 to 648 of the family's 1533-position model. The record is from RNAcentral.
AGAGUUUGAUCCUGGCUCAGAACGAACGCUGGCGGCGUGGCUAAGGCAUGCAAGUCGAACGAGGUGUGUGGAAGGUAACGGAAGCACAUUUAGUGGCGAACGGGUGAGGAAUAGAUAGGUAACGUACCCUGGACACAGGAAUAGCGGCGUCCCGACUUGUCGGGACUUUGCGAAAGUGCCGGUAAUACCUGAUGACAUCACUGGACCGCAUGGUCCGGUGAUCAAAGGUCCGCAGGUCUGGGAGCGGCCUAUCUCCUAUCAGCUUGUUGGUGGGGUAACGGCCUACCAAGGCUUCGACAGGUACCAGGCGUGAGAGCGCGAUCUGGCACAUCGGGACUGAGACACUGCCCGGACAUCUACGGAUGGCUGCAGCAACGAAUAUUCCGCAAUGGGCGAAAGCCUGACGGAGCGACGCCGCGUGUAGGAUGAAGCACUUCGGUGUGUAAACUACUGUCAGGGGUUAGGAAGAAAGUGACCAACCCCAAAGGAAGCCUCGGCUAACUCCGUGCCAGCAGCCGCGGUAAUACGGAGGAGGCAAGCGUUGUUCGGAAUUACUGGGCUUAAAGCGUGCGUAGGCGGGAUGGCAGGUGUCGUGUGAAAGCCCUCGGCUCAACCGAGGAACUGUUCGGCAAACCGUCAUUCUUGAGGC